RNAcentral lists this ribosomal RNA (305 nucleotides) under uncultured bacterium. Its description in RNAcentral is "bacterial SSU rRNA". It matches the Rfam family "Bacterial small subunit ribosomal RNA", at positions 334 to 635 of the family's 1533-position model. The record is from RNAcentral.
AUUUCCUACGGGAGGCAGCAGUGAGGAAUAUUGGUCAAUGGGCGGGAGCCUGAACCAGCCAAGUCGCGUGAGGGAAGACGGUCCUAUGGAUUGUAAACCUCUUUAGGCGGGGAGCAAUGCCGGGCACGCGUGCCCGGAGGGAGAGUACCCGCAGAAUAAGCAUCGGCUAACUCCGUGCCAGCAGCCGCGGUAAUACGGAGGAUGCGAGCGUUAUCCGGAUUUAUUGGGUUUAAAGGGUGCGUAGGUUGUUUUUUAAGUCAGCGGUGAAAGUUUGUGGCUCAACCAUAAAAUUGCCGUUGAAACUG